RNA transcript from Nymphaea colorata (pocket water lily), 2887 nucleotides. It is a transcript of the gene named CDPK-related kinase 7-like, with no coding region annotated. NCBI's taxonomy places the organism in Eukaryota, Viridiplantae, Streptophyta, Magnoliopsida, Nymphaeales, Nymphaeaceae. The transcript is spliced from 12 exons. The record is from RefSeq and is a predicted model, not a curated record.
GGAUCCACCACCCCCAAAUAAUUUAAUUCCACUCUCCAACUUAGCUAAAAAAGAGGACUGAAAAGCAAAAGGUGAAAAGGGGAUUUCUUGAAAACCCACCUCUGGUGCAGAGAUCUUUCUUUCCUUUCUUCUUUUUUUCUCUUUUCUUUCAUUUCUCGUCACCUCUCAACAUUCCCACCUUCUCUUCCACUGGGAGUGUUACUCGUAGGUCUGCUUGUGGGUUUCUGCUCUUUAGCCACCUUGAUUGCUUCAGCUAUUGAUUUCAGACAGUUUUUUUUUUUUCUGUAUUGUCUUUGCAAAGAAGGCUUACCGUCGUAGCGUAGCCUUAUUGGGCUUGUGUGUUGCCCCUCUUUUGUAAUCUCUUUUUGUCUUUGCUUCUUUUUCCCUUCUUAAUUCUCAUUUGGUUUACUUUGGGUGUUGUUUAGUUUGGCUCUUCUCUCUUUUGCCAGUUUUCUGGGCCCUUUUGCUGUCUUUUCCUGGGUUACUCUUCUGUGUUUUUGAUGCUUUUGGUGGUUCCUUCUUCCUGGUAUCGUUGUAUUUGCUUCUUUCUGCUGCAUUUUUUCCGUUGUUGGUUCUUGUUGUGAAAGAGUUUCUUGAGUUUUCCAUUUUCUGAGGGUCAGUUCUUGCCAUGGGUCUGUGUCAUGGAAAACCCAUUACAGACCCACCAAAUCACACUGAAAAUGUUGAGAAUUCGGAGAGCAAUGUGCCCAAAUUGGAGGUGGGAACGAAGUUGGAUAGUCAAGCAGGCAAACCUGCAAAGAUCCCACUCUAUAGCCCAAGCCCUUUGUACAGCUUCUUCAAGAAUUCGCCGCCGUAUUCGACCCCGACUUCAACCGCCAAUUCGACGCCCAGCCGGUUCUUCAAGCGGCCUUUCCCGCCACCGUCUCCGGCGAAGCAUAUCAAGGCGUUGCUCGCUCGUAGGCAUGGAUCUGUAAAGCCCAACGCACCAUCAAUCCCGGAGGGAAGUGAAUGCGAGUUGGGUUUGGACAAGAGUUUUGGGUUCUCAAAGCAGUUUGAUUCGAAGUAUGAACUCGGGGAAGAAGUGGGUCGCGGUCAUUUUGGCUUCACUUGCACUGCUAAGGUCAAAAAGGGUGAGUUGAAGGGGCAGGAGGUUGCUGUUAAAGUCAUUCCUAAAGCAAAGAUGACCACAGCGAUUGCCAUAGAGGAUGUCCGAAGGGAGGUGAAAAUUCUUAGUGCUUUAACAGGACACAAGAAUCUGGUGCAAUUUUAUGAGGCCUUUGAAGACCAGGAAAAUGUAUACAUAGUGAUGGAGCUAUGCAAAGGAGGUGAGCUUCUAGAUAGGAUAUUGUCCAGGGGAGGAAAAUACUCUGAAGAUGAUGCUAAGGCUGUGAUGGUCCAGAUUCUGAGCGUUGCAUCCUUUUGUCAUCUCCAAGGUGUAGUUCAUCGGGAUCUUAAGCCAGAGAAUUUCCUCUUCACUUUGAAGGAUGAGAAUUCACAACUGAAGGCCAUAGAUUUUGGCUUGUCUGAUUUUGUCAAACCAGAUGAGCGACUCAAUGAUAUCGUGGGAAGUGCAUAUUAUGUUGCUCCUGAGGUUCUGCAUAGAUCCUAUGGCACGGAGGCCGAUAUGUGGAGUAUUGGUGUUAUUGCCUACAUUCUUCUGUGUGGCAGCCGCCCUUUUUGGGCACGAACUGAAUCCGGUAUCUUUCGAGCCGUGCUGAAGGCGGACCCAAGUUUUGAUGAAGCACCUUGGCCUUCUCUUUCUCCUGAGGCAAAGGAUUUUGUCAAGAGACUUCUGAAUAAAGAUGCACGUAAAAGAAUGACUGCUGCUCAGGCGUUAUGUCAUCCCUGGAUAAGGAGCUGCCAGGACAGUAAGAUCCCACUUGACAUCCUAGUGAUCAGACUUGUGAAAUCAUAUUUGUGUUCAUCAUCUCUAAGAAAGGCUGCUUUAAAGGCCCUUGCAAAGACGUUGUCAGAAGAUCAGCUUAUGUAUUUAAGGGAACAAUUUAAUUUAUUAGGUCCAAACAAGAGUGAUUUCAUUUGUCUGCAGAACUUCAGGACGGCCUUGAUGAAGUACUCUACUAGCGCAAUGAAGGACUCUCGAGUUCAUGAUUUUGUCAAUAUGGUGAGUUCUCUACAAUACAGAAAAAUGGAUUUUGAGGAAUUUUGUGCCGCUGCCAUUAGUGUGCAUCAGAUGGAAGCUUUGGAUAGUUGGGAGCAGCAUGCGUUUCAAGCAUAUGAAUUAUUUGAGAAGGAUGGAAAUAGAGCAAUUGUUAUCGAGGAGCUUGCAUCAGAACUUGGGCUUGGACCAUCAGUUCCAGUGCAUGCCGUUCUUCAUGACUGGAUCAGGCACUCCGAUGGAAAACUCAGUUUCAUGGGAUUUGUCCGGCUUCUCCAUGGUGUAUCUUCGCGUUUGGUAUCAAAGGUGCAAACAGCUUGAAGAAUUUUUGGAUACUCAUUUUUUCUAUUCAAACCUCCGUUUGGUGACCUAAGUGGAGCCAACAUGCCUGUUUACCGUGACACAAGUGGACAAGAAGUCAGUUACUGCACUCCCAAGCCAGGAAUAAGGGCUUUAACUUGUUUCCACUUGUUGUGUGCACUUUUUGACACUGCCUGUGAUGGAGAUUGAGAUGAUGAUGUACAGAUGUACUAACAAUCACUAAAAGCAGUGAACAAGAAGUGUUUGGUUGGUGAGCAUGGGAUGAAACCUUCCACUGGGUCGUUGUACAAUAGCUCAGAACCUGCCUUCUGCACCCUGUCUUUUUUUUUUUUUUUAUGUGCUUUAGAUGCAUAAUGUACAGAGGUAUUUCUACCUUUAUGUUUGCACUAUCCGGAGCUUGCUCAUGACAGUAAAUGUACAAACCAUGGCGACAACCUAUUCAAAUUCUUGAUGCUGGAAAUUUCAAAUGUACUUCAAUAUUUUUGUUGA